UGGGGGGCAUCUGGAAGCGGGGUAACGGCCCUGGGUUCGCACGUGGAGGUGGAGUGGGGACUCUCCCCAAAGCUAGAGGAAGAUGAAGCAACUGGGUCAUGAUUGUGUAUGUUAAAGAACAAAGAAAGGACUAUCAGAAACCAUAACUGGAGCACCAGUAUUUAACACAGCCCUGAAAGAACACAUUUUUACAGGAAGCAAAGAGGAUAUGGGGUUUAUCUCCCUUCCCUUUGAAUCUGGUUGGCCAUGAGACUUGUUUUGGCCUGGAGAUUGCAGAAGUAAUGUCAUAUGAGUCUGGGCCAACACCUCAAGAGACCUUGCAAUUUCCAGUUUUACCAUCUUGGGAUUUAGACACCAUGCUUAAGAAGCUUGGAAUUCUGGGAUUCUGGAUAAUGUGAGACAUGGAGAGAGAGAGAAGCCCAGCCAGUGUCCAACCGUCCCACUCACUAUGGCUGAGGCACGAAACGUGAAUGAAAUCACAUGGAUUCUCCAGCGCCAGCCAAGCUGUCCCAGUCAACCAAAUGGAGCAGAGAUAAACCAUCCCUG
This is a long non-coding RNA of Zalophus californianus (California sea lion), 546 nucleotides long. RefSeq lists it as uncharacterized. The transcript has 3 exons. The record is from RefSeq and is a predicted model, not a curated record. Lineage: Eukaryota; Metazoa; Chordata; Mammalia; Carnivora; Otariidae.